Molecule: ribosomal RNA, 858 nt
Filed under: Pediococcus acidilactici
Lineage: Bacteria; Bacillati; Bacillota; Bacilli; Lactobacillales; Lactobacillaceae
Description: bacterial SSU rRNA
Rfam family: Bacterial small subunit ribosomal RNA
Source: RNAcentral
UUACACGUCUCGGGGGAGAAGCGGUUAUACGUAGGUGGCUAGCUGUUCUCCGGAUUUAAUGGGCGUAAAAGCGAGCGCGGGCGGUCUUUAAGUCUAAUGUGAAAGCUUUCGGCUCAACCGAAGAAGUGCAUUGGAAACUGGGAGACUUGAGUGCAGAAGAGGACAGUGGAACUCCAUGUGUAGCGUGAAAUGCGUAGAUAUAUGGAAGAACACCAGUGGCGAUGGCGGCUGUCUGGUCUGUAACUGACGCUGAGGCUCGAAAGCAUGGGUAGCGAACAGGAUUAGAUACCCUGGUAGUCCAUGCCGUAAACGAUGAUUACUAAGUGUUGGAGGGUUUCCGCCCUUCAGUGCUGCAGCUAACGCAUUAAGUAAUCCGCCUGGGGAGUACGACCGCAAGGUUGAAACUCAAAAGAAUUGACGGGGGCCCGCACAAGCGGUGGAGCAUGUGGUUUAAUUCGAAGCUACGCGAAGAACCUUACCAGGUCUUGACAUCUUCUGCCAACCUAAGAGAUUAGGCGUUCCCUUCGGGGACAGAAUGACAGGUGGUGCAUGGUUGUCGUCAGCUCGUGUCGUGAGAUGUUGGGUUAAGUCCCGCAACGAGCGCAACCCUUAUUACUAGUUGCCAGCAUUCAGUUGGGCACUCUAGUGAGACUGCCGGUGACAAACCGGAGGAAGGUGGGGACGACGUCAAAUCAUCAUGCCCCUUAUGACCUGGGCUACACACGUGCUACAAUGGAUGGUACAACGAGUCGCGAAACCGCGAGGUUUAGCUAAUCUCUUAAAACCAUUCUCAGUUCGGACUGUAGGCUGCAACUCGCCUACACGAAGUCUGAAUCGCUAGUAUCGCGAUCCUUCUAC